RNAcentral lists this ribosomal RNA (453 nucleotides) under Caulobacter sp. RNAcentral describes it as "bacterial SSU rRNA". It matches the Rfam family "Bacterial small subunit ribosomal RNA", at positions 405 to 876 of the family's 1533-position model. The record is from RNAcentral. Lineage: Bacteria; Pseudomonadati; Pseudomonadota; Alphaproteobacteria; Caulobacterales; Caulobacteraceae.
AUGAUGAAGGUCUUAGGAUUGUAAAAUUCUUUCACCGGGGACGAUAAUGACGGUACCCGGAGAAGAAGCCCCGGCUAACUUCGUGCCAGCAGCCGCGGUAAUACGAAGGGGGCUAGCGUUGCUCGGAAUUACUGGGCGUAAAGGGAGCGUAGGCGGACUGUUUAGUCAGAGGUGAAAGCCCAGGGCUCAACCUUGGAAUUGCCUUUGAUACUGGCAGUCUUGAGUACGGAAGAGGUAUGUGGAACUCCGAGUGUAGAGGUGAAAUUCGUAUAUAUUCGGAAGAACACCAGUGGCGAAGGCGACAUACUGGUCCGUUACUGACGCUGAGGCUCGAAAGCGUGGGGAGCAAACAGGAUUAGAUACCCUGGUAGUCCACGCCGUAAACGAUGAGUGCUAGUUGUCGGCAUGCAUGCAUGUCGGUGACGCAGCUAACGCAUUAAGCACUCCGCCUGG